Molecule: ribosomal RNA, 477 nt
Filed under: uncultured bacterium
Lineage: Bacteria
Description: bacterial SSU rRNA
Rfam family: Bacterial small subunit ribosomal RNA
Source: RNAcentral
GAGUUUGAUCCUGGCUCAGGACGAACGCUGGCGGCGUGCUUAACACAUGCAAGUCGAGCGAUGAAGCUCCUUCGGGAGUGGAUUAGCGGCGGACGGGUGAGUAACACGUGGGUAACCUGCCUCAUAGAGGGGAAUAGCCUUUCGAAAGGAAGAUUAAUACCGCAUAAGAUUGUAGUACCGCAUGGUACAGCAAUUAAAGGAGUAAUCCGCUAUGAGAUGGACCCGCGUCGCAUUAGCUAGUUGGUGAGGUAACGGCUCACCAAGGCGACGAUGCGUAGCCGACCUGAGAGGGUAAUCGGCCACAUUGGGACUGAGACACGGCCCAGACUCCUACGGGAGGCAGCAGUGGGGAAUAUUGCACAAUGGGGGAAACCCUGAUGCAGCAACGCCGCGUGAGUGAUGACGGCCUUCGGGUUGUAAAACUCUGUCUUUGGGGACGAUAAUGACGGUACCCAAGGAGGAAGCCACGGCUAACUA